CGCGAAGGCAAGCGGAUCUCUUAAAGCUGUUCUCAGUUCGGACUGCAGUCUGCAACUCGACUGCACGAAGCUGGAAUCGCUAGUAAUCGCGGAUCAGCACGCCGCGGUGAAUACGUUCCCGGGCCUUGUACACACCGCCCGUCACACCAUGGAAGUCUGCAAUGCCCGAAGCCGGUGGCCUAACCACUUAUGUGGAAGGGGCCGUCUAAGGCAGGGCAGAUGACUGGGAUGAAGUCGUAACAAGGUAUC
Molecule: ribosomal RNA, 249 nt
Filed under: uncultured bacterium
Lineage: Bacteria
Description: partial 16S ribosomal RNA
Rfam family: Bacterial small subunit ribosomal RNA
Source: RNAcentral